This 72-nucleotide transfer RNA is filed under the name Marmota monax (woodchuck). RNAcentral describes it as "tRNA.Val". Lineage: Eukaryota; Metazoa; Chordata; Mammalia; Rodentia; Sciuridae. The record is from RNAcentral.
GGGGUUGUAGCUCAGUGGUAGAGCUCUUUACCUCACAUGCAUGAGGCACUGGGUUCAAUCCUCAGCACCACA